RNAcentral lists this long non-coding RNA (20210 nucleotides) under Xyrichtys novacula (pearly razorfish). Lineage: Eukaryota; Metazoa; Chordata; Actinopteri; Labriformes; Labridae. The record is from RNAcentral.
GUCGCUUAUGUGCAGUGAUUUCUCCAGAUUCUCUGAACCUUUUGAUGAUAUUAUGGACUGUAGUUGAAAUCUCUAAAUUCUUUACAAUUGUACUUUGAGAAACGUUGUUCUUAAACUGUUCGACUAUUUGCUCACGCAGUUGUUCACAAAGUGGUGAACCUCGCCCCAUCCUUGCUUGUGAAUGACUGAGAAUUUUUGGCGAAGCUGCUUUUAUACCCAAUCAUGACACCCACCUGUUCCCUAUUAGCCUGCUCACCUGUGGGAUGGUCCAAACAGGUGUUUGAUGAGCAUUCCUCAAAUUUCUCACCUGUCCCGACUUCUUUGUCACGUGUUGCUGCCAUCAGAUUCUGUAUUAAAUUGAAUAUAGGUUAGAAAUCAUUUGCAAAUCGUUGCUGUAAGAAAAAUUGUAUGUGUAUGCUAUCACGUGUAUUUUAUCAUAAUGUAAGUAUUUUACUCAUCAUUUACUGAAAAUCACUUGGUGUGAAUGCUUGCAGAAUCAUAUCUGUUUCUUUUUAAUGAGCAUGGGAAAGGAGAAGUAUGGCCUUAGAGUUGGGACUUAUACUUUUCCACUUUUAUGAAUCACCUCUCCCAGAUCUGUCUCCCAAAUAGUUUUAAAGGUCCCCUAUUAUGAAAGAUCCACUUUUGGGGUGGUUUUCUACCAAUAAUAUGCAUACCGGACAUGAAAAAAUUUCAUUCUCUCCCACUCUUGCUUUCCCCUCCUUUCUGAAAACAUGAGCGCAAACGGGCGGAUGGAAAAGCUGUGCGGUUAUGAUGAACUUAAACCCGAUGCUGUGCAAAAAAUAAAAAUGCAUCAAAGUUAAUUUUGUUGCUUAUAUUUGACAUACCCAAGGGUGUGAUAGCAUGUAAAAAAUCUUCAGCCUCUCAUUACUUUUUAUAUUGAAAUUCUGUCAUUUUGUGUGAUUUUUUCUCUUUCCAUCAAAUCAGUGACAUCGCCUCUUAAUUUGGCAUUUAAUUUGGCAUUUAAGGGUUAAAAUUCAUAAUGAAAUAAUAAUAAAAAAUGUUAUGAUAAGGACUGAGCUUUGAAUAGAUUUGAGCAAAAAAAAUUGUCUGGUAUGUUUUUAUAGCAGCUAAAGUAAGUGACCCAAAACAGCCACAACGCAACCAAAGGUAGUAAAUCUGUAAACAGUGCAUUUAAAAAUUUUGAAAGAGAAAAUUAAAAAUAUACGUCAAAUUAAACUUCUUUACCAAAAAUGAUUUCACUCUCUAAAAAAUAGCGAGUAUUUUGGUCAAAAAAGUGAGUAUUUUGCCCCCUACUGGCUAAAAAAAGCCACAAGGUGACACAAGGGUUAACAAACUUCUGAAAAUAAACAUUCAUAGAAAUGGAGGCAUGAUCCAAAACAACAAUUGAGUCAUAUUUGCAGCCAGAAAUGUUGGAUAACAAUUUAUUAUUCACUAGAAAAAAAAUCAAUUCAAGUGUAAGUAUGAUGAAUAUGAAAGAAAAAAAAGAGUAUUCCCUUUUAUCUGGAUCGAAAAAACGCCAAGGGUUAACAACAUUAACCUUGUUCAUAAAGGCUUGAAUCACUUUGGUCGACUUGGAUUGGGAAGAAUGGUUUAAGUAUGGAUUAAUCCAGCAGUUGAAGUCUCCACCUAAGAUUAAAUCAUACAUGGACAAGUCAGGUAGCAUUGAGAAAACCUGUCUAAAAAAGACUCAUCAUCCCAGUUGGGGUCAUAAAAAUGUGUCCUAUGACCUGCAAUAAACCUGCCACCAGAAUCAGACAUUGUCUCAAUAUAAACAAAAGGAAUAUCAAAAGGAUUUGGCUCCCCCCUGUGGACCGAAGCAGAGAGAGCAUCAAAGAUAACAAAAGGUAAAAGGAGGAGAGGAGGAAAUAAGGAAGGAGGGAAGGAGAAAACAAAAGAGAGGGGAAGGAAACAAAAGAAGGGAGGAUGAAAUAAGGGAGGAGAAAGGAGGAAUAGAGGUAGUUCAGGCAGGUCGCUGAGUCAAGCUGAUCUUAAACCAGCCCUCAGUUAGCUUACAGCUCAGGUGAUCGCCCUCUACACAUCCUAUUGGCUAAUGUCAAAAUGGCGCCCUAUUUAAACUGCUUCUCCUGUCUACUCUGCCUGCUGCAAUUCUGCCUUUUUGCUUUUUCCUACCUUGCUCUUCAUCAUGUCGAUCCCUGCCCACGACAAGGAUCCACGGCAGAUUGACUGCUUUCUGAAACGCAGCACCAGCAUGUGAGGUCGAGGAAGCCAGUCCUUGCAAUGACAGAUGCGUUUCCUUCUGCACGAGCUCUCCUCUGGCAAGUAAAACUUUUAUUUCUCCCAGCUUCAUGAAGUCCAGGCUCCUAGAAGUCCUUUAUAGAUAACAUCACAGCUCCCGGUGGUGCCUCACAUCAAUAUCCACAUAGAGCCCCCACUUGCAGUUCUCUCUUCCUCCUCUGUAUCCAGAAAAGCGACCGAGAAAAGAAAACGCUGUUCCCGCCGCGUCACGGCAGUUCAGCUUCAGCCGCCGCGUCAUCGCCGCCGCCCGCAGAGCGCGAGGCCCAACCCCAGCCACCAGAGCCGCGGACGUGGACGACAAUCCCAUCCUGAAAGCACUAUCCAGCAUCCAGCCAUCGCUCGCCCACAUGUCUUCGAGGAUCGAAGCCCCAGAAUCCGGUUCGGCACGUGCUAAGCUGUCCUCCUUCAUCCCAGCUGUCACCUUCCUUCACCGCGCUGAACGAUGACGUCACUCCAGCGACAACCGACGACAGCGUCACGAUCCCGCCAAAGACCCUGGGAAGUGCAGUCCCCGUCUCCAUCGGCGUCCCAUUCUUCCCUCCCGCGGCUGCAAUUACACCGAAUCUGCGGAGCCAAAUCCUCGAAGGUACCGACAUUAAUCUUGUAAAGAAUCUUGCUGUGCUCCGACUACAAUGAUAGACGCAUUGUGGAUUGCGGAGAUGAGUCUGUGAUGCUUAAAUAUCGUGAUGCGCGUCUGUUUAAAUCUCCGACCUUAGCUGAAUUCAUGUAGCUUUCUGCGUAUUUGGAAAUGUCAUAUGUGAAGUGUUUUCAGCACGCAGAACUGAACUGGACACAUAUCUUGCCAUUAUUUCUGAUUCAGACAUGACUUAUGGAAGAAUAUUAUUCUAGGAAUCUCACAAAUCAUUUUCAGCAAAGCUGCUAAGUACAUUCAAAGAUUCAACCAGACUUGAUUAGUCCGUAGGCGACCUGGCUCAACUCGACUUAGCAUCAAGCUUUUUCUUGCUCAAGCUGUGGGUCUUCCUCUCACACCCAGAGUAAGCCAGGAAGCAGGUAUGCAGCGGUACACAGCAGUACGCUGUUAAAUAGAUAAAUGAUUAUUAAAUAAACAAAUAAAUAGAUUUUAUGUUCAAGAGAGGGAGAGAGAGAUGCAGCAGAUGAUGGUACUGUGGCAUCAGAGUCGGCGCCUCGCUAAAUGUGGGUAUACUCCUCUUGUUCAAAGCCUAUGGGCACAGUACAUGCAAGAACCUUAUCCUACAUUAACUAAGGUGACCAGACGUCCCCGAUUUCCGGGGACAGUCCCCGAAUUGGAUGACCUGUCCCUGGAAAAAGCUGUCCCCGAAAAUGGGUAAGGAAGCACAAGUAAGCAGUCCUGAACAACAGUUGUUACGGGAGUUAUUACAAGGCCGAAUGUCCCCUGGUUUCAUUACAGAAAUCUGGUCACCUUAAUAUUAACCCCUGCUCACACCUCCAAUCUGUGCCCUAAAACUGUGGCUACAGGCCAACCGCCAAGCUUUUUCUAAGCCUACAUCACUUCAAGGCCAAGUUACUGCAGGGACGGUUAUCUAAAAAACAGCACGCCCAAGAUGCACCCGCCUUGUAAAAAAGGAGAAUACAGCUGUCUACUCCGUCAAAUGUCCCUGAGCUGGGGAAGGCACUGGCAAAGCAUCCCAACCACUGUUUGUGAAUUAUUUGAUAACAGGACUGGUUCAGGGGUUCCUAGCAUAGUUGAUGGAGAGGAGGUAGAGAAGUAAGAGGACAUGCUCGAGAGGCAGUUCAUCUACCGGAAAGAGAACUUGGCAUAUUAAUUUUCCUUGCGCGUCAUGCCUCAGGGGCGGUCCUUUAUAUCUAGACUUUUCAACCUUGCCAAAUCAGUGGAGAAACUCCAUGAUAGAGUAAGUUUAGAUGAAGGUUGCAGAUCCAAACUGCGGUUUGGUCACUUCUGUGUAAAAAUGGAAAGGCAUCUCAUUCUCUUAUAGUGACUAUCAGGAAUCUUCUCCUGUGAUUUAAGCUAUUUAUAGUCACAGCACCAUAUGUUGGUUUUGGGGGGUUUUAAUAAUCAGUGGUUGCUGAUGUUUGGCCGAAUGAACUGUCUUCUCUGCCAAAAAAUGUGUCUUCAACUGCUUUAAUGUUUUAAGGGUAACCUAUACUACACAAGCUUUUGGAGGUGGGUAGGAUGCUUCAUAGUUUCUUGCUGCUGGCUGCUGCUCUGCUGUUGCCUGGUAUGGUUGUUCUGGGGGGCUUUUUUGCUGCUGUUUUCCCUGCCUCGGCUUCCAUGUGCUACAUGAAAGCUGAGAGGGUCGCCUUGUAUGGUGUUUUGGGGGAUUUCGAUUUAUUUAUCUUAAUCGUAUUUAUGUGCUGCUGCUUUCUCUGCCUUGGCUUUUCAUGUUUGCACAUGAAAGGGAGGGGAGGAACUGUCCCCUCUUGUAGCCGUGGCAUUCCAUGCAAGCGCAUGGAAGAGCAGAGAACUCUCAGAACAGAGAUAUGCCGCCAGUGUAAAAUAUGUUUGAUUGUAAUUAGUGCUGGGCGAUGGGACGAUAGAUAUCGUGGGCACGAUAGAAAAUGUCUAUCGUGCCAUUUUUAUUUUUAUCGUUUCGGGCGAUAGGCUGUAUUUUAUCCAUAGGGCUUGUGCCAUCAGAUGAUUCAUAGUAACAACAACAAUAAUUGCACAUUCAGUAAGUGUAUUUGGUGUCGAACGGGAAAGAAAACAAUAUUUUCUUGCAAAGAAAAGGAUGCGUUGACAUGUAGGCUCGCAUUUCUCUUUCGAUUUUGCGACAUGACGCCGCUUUACGUGCCCUCUUCGUGUCCAGCGUCUCCCGCCGUUGCGGGUUACCUGGGUUACACACGUGAGGGGAUCAUUGUAAGCAGUGCUUAAUUUGUGCCGGAGCAAGUCGGAGCGCGAUCCAGGACCUCUUUUGAUCGGAUCCGGGACCUAUUUCAGCCGCUCCGGCACCUGUUUCAUCUGCUCCGGGACCUUCCCUGUAGAGGAUGACAUUUUUCGGGAAUUCCUGUGGGUCACGUGAUUCCCGCAGGACUCCCACGGGAUGGGAGUCAUUUUUUAAUUAAUCCCUUGAUCGGGACGGGACGGGAAAAAAAGCAACGGGAGUGGGCAGGAGCGGGAACAACAUUAAAAGAUGAUCAUUUUCAGCCGUGUUUAACAACCAGAUGAACAGGUGCGUCCAUUUUUGUAGUCAUCUCUCAGUGAGAGCCAACACUCUUGACCGCGCUAGCAACACAAAAGAACUACAACAGUGGUUUGACUUCCUGUCAGCUGGGAGCGCGGCUGCGCAUUUCUACCCUUCAAGCCAGCAGCGAGGAAACGUAAUUUUGUGACACUCUGUAGUUUUUCAAUCAUUUCUGGAGUCGUGGCGAAUCAAAUCACCUGACCUGUCUGCCCCUGAUAGGCGAAUAAAGCGCUCUGAUUCAUGCUCGGGUCUUCCUACGUGCUUCAAGAGUAAAGUAAACAAUGAUGGAGGCAGAGAGCAGCUUUGGAGGAGAAACAUCUAGCAGUGUGAACAACCCCUUAAAGACCAACCUUUUUAAUAAAGCCUUUGGUUAGUUUUCCUCUAUGCUUUUACUACCUUGCCUCUUACAUUGCAACUCUAUAUUUUUUAUUUUUCUAAUUCUUUUUUUUAUGCCAAUCUGUGACUGUCAUUCUAUUGCUUUUUUAUUGUUGCUGCUCUUUUUUUACUGUGUACUGUAGCACUUUGAGAUUUUUGGUAAAUGUAAAGUGCAUUACAAAUUAAAUUUAUUAUUAUUAUUAUUAUUAUUAUUAUUAUUAUGGAGUGCUUUGGCUCACACUAUCAGCGUUUUCUGUGAGUGUUGCAUAACUUUGGGUGAGCACAGACAUGAACGCACUUCAGCCACGUAUUUAUUUAUUAAUUUUUCUAGUUUUAAGUGCUGGUCUUGUACUGGUACUAGUGCAGCUGUAUACACUUAAAUUUUUCAUAGAACUGAAAGCAUACCAUAGCUAUAUCGUGAUAUAUAUCGUUAUCGUGAUAUAAAAUGAUCCAUAUCGUGAUACACAUUUUUUUCCAUAUCGCCCAGCACUAAUUGUAAUAAAUAAAUUUUGACUAAAGUGAUCCUGAGUCGAAUAAAAAAAGAGAGGAGGAAAUAAGGAAAGAGAGGAGGACAUAGGGAGCAGAGGAGGACAAAAGGGAUCAGAGGAGGAAAUAAAAGAAGAGAGAAGGAAAUAAAAUAAGGGAGGAGAGGAGGACAUAAAAGAGAAGAGGAGGAAAUAAAAGAAGAAGUGUCAGACAGGGGAGUGUGUUCACCUGCAGUCAGGUUUGAGGAAAUAAAACCGUCUGAUGAAGACCAGACCCUCAGGAGAAAACAUGUCAUCAUAACAGAGACGGCAGCAGGAAACAGCGCUGUGACCGACUCAAAACCACUCAACGACGUGAAAAUAAACCAAAGAGGAGCUCGGACAGUUCAGUCCAAACCUGAACAGAAGUCUGCUUCGUUUCCUUCUGAUCAUUUUCAUUAUUUUAUUUUAUGUUUAAGAAAAUUUGAGGUUAGAUAAACUUCCUCUGCAGUCAGCCCGUUUCCCUCAUAUCGACAGUUUUUGAUGCAUGUUUAUGGAAAUAUUUUAGUUUUCCAAAGUGUCGAACCAGGUUUGUGAUUUUUUGACAAAUUAGGAUCAAAAUUCAAUGAAACACUUUGAGAAGAUCUUCAGUGAGACACACACAGAUUUACACAGCCCUCUGCAGCUACAGUUCACUCAUUAAAGGAAGAAUUCAAAGGUUUUAUUGGGUCAUUAUUUUAGUUUUAUUGAAAAUGUUUUAUGUACAGUUUCCUAUUCAAAGUCUAAAUUAACAGAAAGAAGUUUCCAGAGUCUGAACACUUUCAAACACCGACGAUCUCUCAACGCAUGCAUGACACGGCUGAAACCAGAUUGUGGUCAGGGGGGUCUCCAAUCCUUGACCAUGGAGUGUGGGGGGGUCUCAGCAGAGCAAGGGUCUACAUGUUGUUCAGGUAGUCCUCUCCGUAGUCUACUAUCUGUCUCAGGGCGGUCAGGAUUGGUCUGCUCACCUCAUCAGACAUGGAGCACUCAGACUCGUAGUUCUUCACCAGGAAGAUGCAGUUGACAGGGAUCCCCAGGAGGACGCUGAACUGCUCCACCUUCAGGUCACAGAGACGGUCUGGUUACUGGACUCUGAGUAAAGGUCUUUGGACAAUCUAAGGGACUCAGACUCACCUGCUUCUUCAGGUAUUUGCUCUUGUGAAUGUUGCGGAUGUCUCUCCCCACCUCUGGACAGGCUUUGUCCACUUUGGUGAGGAUGGCGAACUGGGGGAUUCCUGCAGACACACAGAGGGGUUCAGACCUCAGACAGCAGGACUCUGGUGACUUAGAGUCCACAGAGCGGGAACUUACCCUGGUCCCUGGCUGCCAGUCUGACCUGUCUUAACUUCUGCACCACCCCAUCAGUCAGCCGAGACACAGUGUCCACAGGGACCACGCAGACCAGGACGUGGACUUUGUCAUCCAAGGUGGGGAUUGGGUUGUAGCCAUGAUCACGCUCUGAGAGCGGGUUUUGAGGAUUAAACUAGAAAAAAAUGAGAUAAAGACAAAAUUAUCUUGAAGACUUAAAAAUAGGCAACUGGACUGUGUAGAGUUGAGAAGAUGUUUCGCCUCUUAUCCAAGAAGCUUCUAGUGUGAGGAGCAGAUAUUUAUCUUACUGGAGAAGGGGACAGACAACGACUGGGAGGAGUUGGAAAGAAUGGGUCGAAGAAACCCAUUUCUGGUUUUUUUAAGACUUAAAAAAGAAUAUAUGAGAAACACGUCUUUUCCACGGGGAAAAAACUGGUGUACUUGAAGGAAAUCGCUGCUUUUGUGGAGGCAGAAAUGAAUAUGCUGAGGAUAUAUCUGUCAACGCAGCCGUAAAUAUCUGUGAAUGACAUUGAGCUUUAGUUUAUGAUAUGAAUCCAUAUGCCAUAAUAAGGUGUUGGUGUCUCUGCAGGUGUAGGUUACCGCCGGUGUCAGAGACAUGGUGCUCGUCGGAGCUCGACUCCCUCUGGAUCACAAAUGUUGAUCAUCAUCAGUUUGAUUGUUUCUUCAGAAACCACAAAAUCUCUCUGAAUGACCCGCUGAUACAUCCACAGAUAACCCUGCAGAUGACCAGCUUCAGUCAUUUCCCCCUCCACAAAAGCAGCUUCAUGACUUUAUUUACUUUAUGACUUUAUUCUCCUAAAUUUACAACUUGAAUCUCUAAAUCUUAAAAGAAAAAAAACUCAAUGUUGUCCUGAUCCUCUGCUGUAGUUUUGUCAGCUUCUUAUUUCUAAUGUUUUUGAUAGUUGUAACACAGCGGAUCAGUUCGUCUCUAAAUCUAUAAUGUUUGGUUUACAGAUUUUAGUGAGUUCAGAGAUCAUGCUCUCAUACAGCCUGAGCUGACUGUCUGCUGAUUUUGGAUUUCUUGUAUUUUCUUUGAAGACGCGCUGUGUCCACAAGCGAGUCCAGCCUCUCACCUGAAAUGCGAAGCUGUGCAGCGGCACGCAAAGAAUUCUGGGAUACCGACAGCACGAAAGCGUGCAUAAAUGCACGCUUGAAAAAGGGCCGGGGGUAGUGUGGUUUUGAGACCGAAUUUGAAGCGCGCUUAGUAUUUUGUACCAAACGGGACACCGUUCGUGCCGCGUGAUGACCUCACGCACGCUUCAGAUGCGCCGUUCGACGGUUGCGGUCUCUGAAAUGGGACACAGGAAGGGUGCAAAACGGCAGUGCACUCAGCUAAGCGCGCUUCUCCCGAUGCGGUCUCUGAAAUGAGACACAGCCAGAGGCUGUGUCUCAUUUCAGAGACCGCAUCGACCUAAGUGCCCUUCUGCACCGUCGAACGGUGCAUUUGAAGUGUGCAUGACGUCACGACGGUGCGAACGGUGUCCCGUUUGGCACGAGAUGCUAAAAAAUGCUAAGCGCGCUUAGCAUGUUUUCAAGCGUGCAUUUAUCCACGCUUUCGUGCCGUCGGUAUCCCAGAAUCCUUUGCGUGCUGCUGCACAGCUGCGCAUUUCAGGUGAGAGGCUGGACUCGCUUGGAGACGCAGCGCGUCUUCAAAGAAAUUACAAGCAAUCCAAAAACAGCAGACAGUCAGCUCAGGCUGUAUGAGAGCAUGAUCUCUGAACUCACUAAAAUCUGUUAACCAAACAUUAUAGAUUUAGAGACGAACUGAUCCGCUCUGCUUCAACUAUCAAAAACAUUAGAAAUGAGAAAGCUGACAAAACUACAGCAGAGUAUCAGGACAACAUUGAGGUUUUUUUCUAUUAAGAUUUAGAGAUUCAAGUUGUAAAUUUAGGAGAAUAAAGUCAUAAAGUAAAUAAAGUCAUAAAGCUGCUUUUGUGGAGGGGGAAAUGACUGAAGCUGGUCAUCUGCAGGGUUAUCUGUGGAUGUAUCAGCGGGUCAUUAAGAGAGAUUUUGUGGUUUCUGAAGAAACAAUCAAACUGAUGAUGAUCAACAUUUGUGAUCCAGAGGGAGUCGAGCUCCGACGAGCACCACGUCUCUGACACCGGCCGUAGCCUACACCUGCAGAGACACCAACACCUUAUUAUGGCAUAUGGAUUCAUAUCAUAAAUUACAGCUCAAUGUCAUUCACGGAUAUUUACGGCUGCAUUGACAGAUAUAUCCUCAGCAUAUUCAUUUCUGCCUCCACAAAAGCAGCGAUUUCCUUCAAGUACACCAGUUUUUUUCCCCGUGGAAAAGACGUAUUUCUCAUAUAUUCUUUUUAAAGUCUUUAUACUUAUGACAAUGUGAUGCUGAUGUGCCAGAGGAUGAAGUAUCUCCUAUCCUCCUUCUAAAUAGGGCCCUCAUACUCCUUCAUACAAAACAAUCAUUGGAUUAAUUUUGUGGGAAUGAUCUGGGCUUGUAUGUAUCUACUAUUUUGUGUCUGUGCAAGGUCGCACAAUUAAAACAAUACAUGCUGCGCUCCGCAGCUUUUUUUCUAAUCAGUCGUGACGUAAGCCUGAGGGCGGGGACAUUUGGAGACCUUCGGAGGACUUCCUGGUGGAGUUGCCAAAUGUCCCCGCCCUCAGGCUCGCGUCACGACUGACUUAAAGGAAACCCGCAGAGCGCAGCAUUUAUUGUUUUAAUUGUGCGACCUUGCACAGACACAAAAUAGUAGAUACAUACAAGCACAAUUCAUCCAAUGAUUGUUUUGUAAGAAGGAGUAUGAGGGCCAUAUUGAGAUUUAAGACUUUAAGGACUUCGAGAUUUAAGUCGUGAAUUUACGAGAAUAAAGUCAUUAAUUUAUGAGAAUGAAGUCAUAACCUGUUAUUUCAGAGAGACUUGCUAAAAUUAGGGCCAUGAAGCAUUUGAAGGAACUGUGCUUCAGUAUAGGUUUCACAAACAAGGAGAUUCUUCAUCCUCUGGCACAUCAGCAUAACAUUGUCAUAAGUAUAAAGACUUUAAAAAGAAUAUAUGAGAAAUACGUCUUUUCCACGGGGGAAAAAACUGGUGUACUUGAAGGAAAUCGCUGCUUUUGUGGAGGCAGAAAUGAAUAUGCUGAGGAUAUAUCUGUCAAUGCAGCCGUUAAUAUCCGUGAAUGACAUUGAGCUUUAGUUUAUGAUAUGAAUCCAUAUGCCAUAAUAAGGUGUUGGUGUCUCUGCAGGUGUAGGCUACGGCCGGUGUCAGAGACGUGGUGCUCGUCGGAGCUCGACUCCCUCUGGAUCACAAAUGUUGAUCAUCAUCAGUUUGAUUGUUUCUUCAGAAACCACAAAAUCUCUCUGAAUGACCCGCUGAUACAUCCACAGAUAACCCUGCAGAUGACCAGCUUCAGUCAUUUCCCCCUCCACAAAAGCAGCUUCAUGACUUUAUUUACUUUAUGACUUUAUUCUCCUAAAUUUACAACUUGAAUCUCUAAAUCUUAAAAGAAAAAAAACUCAAUGUUGUCCUGAUCCUCUGCUGUAGUUUUGUCAGCUUCUUAUUUCUAAUGUUUUUGAUAGUUGUAACACAGCGGAUCAGUUCGUCUCUAAAUCUCUAAUGUUUGGUUUACAGAUUUUAGUGAGUUCAGAGAUCAUGCUCUCAUACAGCCUGAGCUGACUGUCUGAUGGUUUUGGAUUGCUUGUAUUUUCUUCGAAGACGCGCUGUGUCUCCAAGCGAGUCCAGCCUCUCACCUGAAAUGCACAGCUGUGCAGCGGCACGCAAAGAAUUCUGGGAUACCGACGGCACGAAAGCGUGCAUACAUGCACGCUUGAAAACGAGGCGGGGGUAGUGUGGUUUUGAGACCGAAUUUGAAGCGCGCUUAGUAUUUUGUGCCAAACGGGACACCGUUCGUGCCGCGUGGUGACCUCACGUACGCGUCAGAUGCGCCGUUCGAUGGCUGCUGUAUCUGAAAUGGGACACAGGAAGGGCACAGAACGGCGCAAAACGGCGUAAAACGGCUCAAAACGGCAGUGCACUCAGCUAAGCGCCGUUAAGCGCGCUUAUCACGAUGCGGUCUCUGAAAUGAGACACAGCCAGAGUCAUUCUCAAAAUCCCCUCAGCCACAGGAAGUAGUAAUACACCUUAAAACAGGAAGAUGGCGCUGUUGUACACUGGUGUGGUAUCAUGUCCUCACAGACUUGGUUCUGGUUCGAUCAGUGACUGUGGAUUUAACCUCUAUGGUUGGACAGAUUAGACUCUACAGGACCUUCAGUUCAACAAAGUCCUUCAGUGCGUACCUUGUGAUUUUCCUUCACGUGUCCUUUCAUCGCCAGUUUGACGUCGUCCACUUGGACGCCGUUGUCCAGGCUGUUCUCCAGGCCCAUGAUGUCAUUAAAAACCACAGAAUAAAAGCUCGACGCCUGUUUUUCUAUCUUGUAGGUUUUAUACUGAAAGAAGGAGACAGUAAAUGCAUCAGUUAAACAAAUAAAAGUGUCAAUUUAAAAGAUUUUUCAUUUUCUUAAAAAGGAGAUUCAGUCUGAGAGAGUUAGAGAGAGUUAGUUUCUAAAGAGUUUGUUCAUUUGAGUUUUUCAUUAAUUUGUGGAUAUUUUAUGUUUGUCUCUGUCAUUUUGUAAAUUUGUUAAGUCACGUAUAACUGUCUCAGAAGUUUCUGAAGGACCACAAUCAGACGUUCUCUCAGGCUCUAGACCGUCCUACCUCCAGGGUGUAGCUUGUCCCUGAAGUUGCAUCAGUAGCAGCUCGACCGGUCACACGACCCCUGAGAGCGCUGUCCACUGAGUUGAUGAAACUGGACUUUCCUGCACCGACCGGGCCGUGCAGCAGAACCCUCAAGUGACUGACUUGUUUGUUUCGAGGGUGGUAGGCUCCCAGGUACCUAAUGAUGUCCCCGGAGCUCCUGACAAAGCAGAGACAUCAGAUUGUUUUAUCUCAUCUGUUUAGUAUUAAACAAAAGAGCCCUGACCAUAACAAACUACAAUAAAAUACAACAAGACAAAACCAGAUAAAACAGACAAAAAAAAGUUUAAAAAAGAUCAAUGAAAAGAUUAAAUUAUUUCUAAAAAAAGUUAAAAUUUAAAAGGAUAAAAUAAGAUUCAAUAAAAGUGUGAAAUCAGAUCAAAUAAAAUAAGGAAAUAAAAAAAACACAAAUUAAAAACAGGAUAAAAUAAAAUAAAAAGAUAAGACAAAAUAAAAUGAUAAGAUAAAAAGAUAAAAUCAUUUUAAAAAAUGAAAAUUAAGAAAAUUUCAAGAUAAAACAAGAUUAACAGAUUAUACAAGAUAAAAAGUUGAAGCAAGAUAAAACAAAAUAAAAAUAUAGAAUUGAUGAAAAUAAGACAAGAUAAAACAAGAUAAUUUAUAAUAACAUAAGAUUCAAAAAAGAUAAAAUUAUUUUAAAUAAUUUAAAACAAGAUCAUAUAAUAUAUUAAAACUAAUAAAAUAAAAGGAUAAAAGAAGGAAAGAAAAAAGAAAGGUGUGAUAAGCUUUGUUGAAACUAUAUACACUCACCGGCCACUUUAUUGGGUACACCUGUCCAACUGCUCAUUAACACUUAAUUUCUAAUCAGCCAAUCACAUGGCGGCAACUUAGUGCAUUUAGGCAUGUAGACAUGGUCAAGACAAUCUCCUGCAGUUCAAACCGAGCAUCAGUAUGGGGAAGAAAGGUGAUUUGAGUGACUUUGAACGUGGCAUGGUUGUUGGUGCCAGAAGGGCUGGUCUGAGUAUUUCAGAAACUGCUGAUCUACUGGGAUUUUCACACACAACCAUCUCUAGGGUUUACAGAGAAUGGUCCGAAAAAGAAAAAAUAUCCAGUGAGCGGCAGUUCUGUGGGCGGAAAUGCCUUGUUGAUGCCAGAGGUCAGAGGAGAAUGGCCAGACUGGUUCGAGCUGAUAGAAAGGCAACAGUGACUCAAAUAACCACCCGUUACAACCAAGGUAGGCAGAAGAGCAUCUCUGAACGCACAGUACGUCGAACUUUGAGGCAGAUGGGCUACAGCAGCAGAAGACCUUUCAGCUAAGAACAGGAAACUGAGGCUACAAUUUGCACAAGCUCAUCGAAAUUGGACAGUAGAAGAUUGGAAAAACAUUGCCUGGUCUGAUGAGUCUCGAUUUCUGCUGCGACAUUCGGAUGGUAGGGUCAGAAUUUGGCGUCAACAACAUGAAAGCGUGGAUCCAUCCUGCCUUGUAUCAACGGUUCAGGCUGGUGGUGGUGGUGUCAUGGUGUGGGGAAUAUUUUCUUGGCACUCUUUGGGCCCCUUGGUACCAAUUGAGCAUCGUUGCAACGCCACAGCCUACCUGAGUAUUGUUGCUGACCAUGUCCAUCCCUUUAUGACCACAAUGUACCCAACUUCUGAUGGCUACUUUCAGCAGGAUAAUGCGCCAUGUCAUGAAGCUGGAAUCAUCUCAGACUGGUUUCUUGAACGUGUACCUAAUAAAGUGGCCGGUGAGUGUAUAUAUAAAUACACUCACCGGCCACUUUAUUAGGUACACCAUGCUAGUACCGGGUUGGACCCCCUUUUGCCUUCAGAACUGCCUCAAUUCUUCGUGGCAUAGAUUCAACAAGGUGCUGGAAGCAUUCCUCAGAGAGCUUGGUCCAUAUUGACAUGAUGGCAUCACACAGUUGCCGCAGAUUUGUCGGCUGCACAUCCAUGAUGCGAAUCUCCUGUUCCACCACAUCCCAAAGAUGCUCUAUUGGAUUGAGAUCUGGUGACUGUGGAGGCCAUUUGAGUACAGUGAACUCAUUGUCAUGUUCAAGAAACCAGUCUGAGAUGAUUCCAGCUUUAUGACAUGGCGCAUUAUCCUGCUGAAAGUAGCCAUCAGAAGUUGGGUACAUUGUGGUCAUAAAGGGAUGGACAUGGUCAGCAACAAUACUCAGGUAGGCUGUGGCGUUGCAACGAUGCUCAAUUGGUACCAAGGGGCCCAAAGAGUGCCAAGAAAAUAUUCCCCACACCAUGACACCACCACCACCAGCCUGAACCGUUGAUACAAGGCAGGAUGGAUCCAUGCUUUCAUGUUGUUGACGCCAAAUUCUGACCCUACCAUCCGAAUAUCGCAGCAGAAAUCGAGACUCAUCAGACCAGGCAAUGUUUUUCCAAUCUUCUAUUGUCCAAUUUCGAUGAGCUUGUGCAAAUUGUAGCCUCAGUUUCCUGUUCUUAGCUGAAAGGAGUGGCACCCGGCGUGGUCUUCUGCUGCUGUAGCCCAUCUGCCUCAAAGUUCGACGUACUGUGCGUUCAGAGAUGCUCUUCUGCCUACCUUGGUUGUAACGGGUGGUUAUUUGAGACACUGUUGCCUUUCUAUCAGCUCGAACCAGUCUGGCCAUUCUCCUCUGACCUCUGGCAUCAACAAGGCAUUUCCGCCCACAGAACUGCCGCUCACUGGAUAUUUUUUCUUUUUCGGACCAUUCUCUGUAAACCCUAGAGAUGGUUGUGCGUGAAAAUCCCAGUAGAUCAGCAGUUUCUGAAAUACUCAGACCAGCCCUUCUGGCACCAACAACCAUGCCACGUUCAAAGUCACUCAAAUCACCUUUCUUCCCCAUACUGAUGCUCGGUUUGAACUGCAGGAGAUUGUCUUGACCAUGUCUACAUGCCUAAAUGCACUAAGUUGCCGCCAUGUGAUUGGCUGAUUAGAAAUUAAGUGUUAACGAGCAGUUGGACAGGUGUACCUAAUAAAGUGGCCGGUGAGUGUAUAUGUGUAUAUAUGUAUAUAUAUAUAUAUUACUGUGUGUAUAUGCGUGUAUUUGUGUAUAUGUGUGUGUGCGUGUGUCAAUGUGUAUAUGUAUGUCUAUGUGUGUAUGUGUAUGUGUGUGUGUGUGUGUGUGUGUCCUUAGAAUGCUCACUCACUCAUUCAAUCGUCUCCACGGUUGACUCAGACAGGCUGAAGGACAAAAAUGAACAAUAGUGAGAAAAACUGAAAAACAUGGUUACUGAUUAAAGAUCCUGAUCCUCAGAUCUGAGAUCAUGUCAGUAAGAAUUCAGCCUCUUACGGGAAGGUGGAGGAGUUGGAGGAGGUGGAGAAGGUCGAUAAUAUGGAGAAUGUCCAUGUGAUCGUCUGCAUUUUGAUUUUGAUGAGCCCAUGUCUGCAGAGAACAUGUUCACAUAUUAAAACAUGACCUCAGCUGUUUGACCAGUCUCUAAAAUAAAACCUUUGUAGAAGCUCACGGUCUGCAGAUAUUCAGACAUUAUUGAUCUGUUUAAGGCUGAACCAUCAAUGAUAAAUCUGAGAGGUAAUCAGCUGAUAUAAAGAGUUCAAUAUUUCUCCUUUACAUCAACCUAUGAGGAACAAAGUGAUCAUUAUUACAAUAAUCUCCUUAUUCUGAAGUAAAACCCUCCAAACAUGAUGAGACAGCAUGCAACUCUUAAAUCAAUAAAAUCCAGUUUCUACAGAUUAAAAUGGAGCUGGAGGACAGAGUUGGUGUUUCAGUGAGCAUCAGUAAAUGACAGAGAGACUGUAAAAAAAGGUCCUAACAGGUUAAAGUGGCUCUUACCUGCUGCUGUAUCUCUGCUCAGAGUGACUCUGCAGAUCAGCGGGCUGGUGGGUUUUUAUAGAGUCUCCAUACUUUCACUUUCAGUCUCCCUGUUUGAAAUCACUCACAUGAUUUACUGGAAAACUGAAACUGAGCCCAUCCCAGUCAAUGUGUCAAUGAGACAAACUUUAUCUAUGACGCACUUCUUACACAAUGUUGGUGCAACACAAAGAGAUGUACAGAAAAAGAAAAGGAAAGUCAAAAUAAAAACAACAAAAUUUUAAUCAAUAAAUGAGUUUAAAAAAAUAAUAGAUUAAAAAAACUUGAAAUUAAAAACACUUUAGGUGGAGUUUCUGUGGUCUGAGUUAUAACCCUGUCUGAGUUAUAACCCUGUCUGUAGUAUAACCCUGUCUGUAUCAUAAACCUGUCUGUAGGAUGAUCCUGUCUGUAGUAUAACCCUGUCUGUGUUUAAGUCUAAGUUCAUGUGUUCACUCUGGAGUUGUUUGGAGUUUCUUUUCUGUCAGAGACCACCCUCUAAAAACUGAGUUUUUCCUUUGACACAGAAGACUCUGAUAAACAUUCAUUUUCUGUAUUUCAGGAUGAAUUUUGGGUCUCAUCAGGCUGUAACCCUUUUAGUGUUGAUGAUUAUGUUGAAUUAUCCCUAUUUUUUCAGAGCUGAGAGUGGAAAAACUUCGGUUGAAGACAAUUCAUGUUCAGAUGUCCUGAAGGGUGAAAUCAUGUCGAACUCGGUCAGAGGACUUUGUUUAAAGCAGCUACAGAGGGAACAACAGGAGGGUGAAAUAUUAACACAUGAUCACUUUAGACUUUUCAGUCUUUGACUUUCUGUCCAUGUUUGCAGACUGAGAGGUUUCUAAACAUUAUGGUGGAAAGUGUGUUAAAUAACCGUUAUCUGGAGAACAGGAUGUGGCGGUUAGGGAUGUGAGUGUCUGCAUGUCUUUAUUACUCUUUCACUUUCAAUAUGAGCACAAGAACAGCCCUGAUAGAGUGUUUCUCUUUUGGUUAGCAGUCAUUUUGCUGCAGUUCUCCUCUUUAAAGCGUCUCAAAACUGUGAUUUCUUCUGCAGCUCCUGGACUGAUAAACUGCAGAAACUCUGAGUUGUGUUUGUUGAUGGAAGAUGUUUCUGUGCUCAGAUGAAUAAACGACAGAGACACACAGAAACUCUGGAUGAAAACCUUCAGGAGCCCCCCAGUCAGACUGUCCCCCCCUGUUCUGUCUUUCCUGUUUUUCUAACAGGUCUGUGAUUCUUCUCUCUCUCAGCCCGGGUUUGUCGGGGAUUUCUCUUUGCCUGAUAUGAAACUUUCCCUUUCAGUCAGUUUCACCUGCUGCUGCCCUCCACACUCUCUCAGUGUCCUCGGUGUCCUGAAUCAGUUCACAAACAUUUAUUGAGUGUUACACUCAAUAAAUGUUUGUGAACUGAGGAGACGAACUGUUGAAGCUUUGAAGGUGGAAUUCUUUCCCAUUCUUGAUGUACAGCUUCAGUUGCUCAACAGUCCGGGGUCUCUGUUGUCCUAUUUUACGCUUCAUAAUGCUCCACACAUUUUCAAUGGGAAACAGGUCUGGACUGCAGGCAGGCCAGUCGAGUACCCGCACUCUUUAACUACGAAGUCACUCCGUUGUAACACGUGCAGAAUGUGGCGUGGCGUUGUCUCGCUGAAGUAAGCAGGAAGGCUGUCCAUGAAAAAGACGCUGCUUGGAUGGCAGCAUAUGUUGCUCUAAAACCUGUGUGUACCUUUCAGCAUGAAUGUUGCUUUCAGAGAUGUGUAAGUUACCCAGGCCUUGGGCACUAAUGCACCCCCAUACCAUCACAGACGCUGGCUUUUGAACUUUGCGUCUACAACAGUCCGGAUGGUUCUUUUCUGCUUUGGCCCGAAUGACACGACGUCCACUGUUUCCAAAAACAAUCUGAAAUGUGGACUCGUCAGACCACAGAACACUUUUACACUUUGCAUCAGUCCAUCUUCGAUGAGCUCGGGCCCAGAGAAGCCGGCAGCGUUUCUGGAUGUUGUUGAUCAAUGGCUUUCUCUUUGCUUAGUUGAGUUUUAACUUACAGAUGUAUCGACGAACUGUAUUUACUGACAGUGGUUUUCUGAAGUGUUCCUGAGUCCAUGUGAUCAUAUCCUUUACACAAUGAUGUCAGUUUUUGAUACAGUUCCACCUGAGGGGUCGAAGGUCACGGGCAUUCAAAGUUGGUUUCCGGCCGUGUCGCUUAUGUGCAGUGAUUUCUCCAGAUUCUCUGAACCUUUUGAUGAUAUUAUGGACUGUAGUUGAAAUCUCUAAAUUCUUUACAAUUGUACUUUGAGAAACGUUGUUCUUAAACUGUUCGACUAUUUGCUCACGCAGUUGUUCACAAAGUGGUGAACCUCGCCCCAUCCUUGCUUGUGAAUGACUGAGAAUUUUUGGCGAAGCUGCUUUUAUACCCAAUCAUGGCACCCACCUGUUCCCUAUUAGCCUGCUCACCUGUGGGAUGGUCCAAAUAGGUGUUUGAUGAGCAUUCCUCAAAUUUCUCACCUGUCCCGACUUCUUUGUCACGUGUUGCUGCCAUCAGAUUCUGUAUUCAAUUGAAUGUAGGUUGGAAAUGAUUUGCAAAUCGUUGCUGUAAGAAAAAUUGUAUGUGUAUGCUAUCACGUGUAUUUUAUCAUAAUCUAAGUAUUUUAAUCAUCAUUUACUGAAAAUCACUUGGUGUGAAUGCUUGCAGAAUCAUAUCUGUUUCUUUUUAAUGAGCAUGGGAAAGGAGAAGUAUGGCCUUAGAGUUGGGACUGAUACUUUUCCACUUUUAUGAAUCACCUCUCCCAGAUCUGUCUCCCAAAUAGUUUUAAAGGUCCCCUAUUAUGAAAGAUCCACUUUUGGGGUGGUUUUCUAACAAUAAUAUGCAUACCGGUAGGCCUGUCACGAUAACAAAUUUUGCUGGACGAUAAUUGUGCUACAAAUUAUCGCCGAUAAACGAUAUUAUUGACACCAUUUUUUAAAUUAUAGAUAAUGAUAUUAUAUGGCAUAAUAAUGCGAGUACACCAUGUCAAAAGGGAUAAACUUUAAUUUCCACACGAGAACAACACUGGUUGUUUUCGUUGACUAAAAUAUUUCCCUUUUCUCCCACGACGAAGACGUAACGUUGACGAGCUAAACAUAAGUCGGAGAUGACUAAAAUGUGACGAGACGAAAGUGCGUUUACGUUGAUGAGACGAGACGAAAAUGACGAACAGAGUUGCAAAACUCAGUCAGUUAAACGCUAAACAUAUAGGAGCAGCUUCAGUCCGCUCUGACAGCUCUCAUCAGCCUGCUGUGCUCCUCCAACACACAGACACGCACGCGCACACACACACGUGGAGUUUUGUGGUUGACGAAAACAAAACUGGUUUAAAGCCGAAAUAUUCCCACACUUGGGCUGUUGCGUUCGGUUUAGACACCAAAGCUGUCGUGUUCAUUCUGUUAGCUUGCUUUUCACUCACAAUGCUCACUUGCAGCACUGUAUCCAAAAAGUCUGUGUCUGUGUGCCUGUGCGCGCCAGCCCCCUCGUGACAAAGAUACUGAAUGACUGACAGGAGGGUUCACUAACUCCGUUCAUUCCGCUAUAGAGCCAACGCCCCCAGGUGCCGAGAACAAUGCGCAGAGUGAGACCUCUUCUCUCAUCCAGCGUGUUUGGUAGCGAGAGAGGAGGAAAACAAACGCACGUCAAUUAUCGAGGCUGGCAAAAUGACCGACCUCGUUUUUAUUUAUCGAGCGAUAAGGCGAUUUAUUGAUUAUCGCGACAGGCCUACAUACCGGACAUGAAAAAAUUUAAUUCUCUCCCACUCUUGCUUUCCCCUCCUUUCUGAAAACAUGAGCGCAAACGGGCGGAUGGAAAAGCUGUGCGGUUAUGAUGAACUUAAACCCGAUGCUGUGCAAAAAAUAAAAAUGCAUCAAAGUUAAUUUUGUUAUAUUUGACAUACCCAAGGGUGUGAUAGCAUGUAAAAAAUCUUCAGCCUCUGAUUACUUUUUAUAUUGAAAUUCUGUCAUUUUGUGUGAUUUUUUCUCUUUCCACCAAAUCAGUGACAUCACCUCUUAAUUUGGCAUUCAAGGGUUAAAAUUCAUAAUGAAAUAAUAAUAAAAAAUGUUAUGAUAAGGACUGAGCUUGACGAAUAGAUUUGAGCAAAAAAAAAAAAUUGUCUGGUAUGUUUUUAUAGCAGCUAAAGUAAGUG